AUUCAAAUAGUUUAAAAAAAAUGUUAGCUUGUGGCGCUUAAGAUGUAAUAUUUACUUUGAGUU
RNAcentral lists this transfer RNA (63 nucleotides) under Scylla serrata (giant mud crab). RNAcentral describes it as "tRNA-His". The record is from RNAcentral. Lineage: Eukaryota; Metazoa; Arthropoda; Malacostraca; Decapoda; Portunidae.